RNAcentral lists this ribosomal RNA (489 nucleotides) under uncultured bacterium. Its description in RNAcentral is "partial 16S ribosomal RNA". It matches the Rfam family "Bacterial small subunit ribosomal RNA", at positions 28 to 507 of the family's 1533-position model. The record is from RNAcentral.
GACGAACGCUGGCGGCGUGCUUAACACAUGCAAGUCGAACGGAAAGGCCCCCAUCUUGGUGGGGGUGCUCGAGUGGCGAACGGGUGAGUAACACGUGGGUGAUCUGCCCUGUACUUCGGGAUAAGCUUGGGAAACUGGGUCUAAUACCGGAUAGGACCAUGGUUUAGUGUCUCAUGGUGGAAAGAUUAUUGUUUUGGUGCAGGAUGAGCUCGCGGCCUAUCAGCUUGUUGGUGGGGUAAUGGCCUACCAAGGCGUCGACGGGUAGCCGGCCUGAGAGGGUGGACGGCCACAUUGGGACUGAGAUACGGCCCAGACUCCUACGGGAGGCAGCAGUGGGGAAUAUUGCACAAUGGGCGCAAGCCUGAUGCAGCGACGCCGCGUGGGGGAUGACGGCCUUCGGGUUGUAAACUCCUUUCGUUAGGGACGAAGCCGCACUUUUUUUGGGUGUGGUGACGGUACCUUUGUUAAGAAGUACCGGCUAACUACGUG